AUGGCUCGUGAUAUUCUUGCUAUCCCCAUUACAACUAUGGCUUCUGAGUCUGCCUUUAGCACAAGUGGAUGCAUACUUGAUGACUUUAGGACAUCUCUAACUCCGUUUAUGGUGCAAGCUUUAGUUUGUAUGCAAGACUGGUUGAGAAGGUCAACAGAUCCAGUCGACAUCAAGGAGAACUUGGAAGAAUUAGAAGUGCUAAAAAAGAGUUGA
Molecule: ribosomal RNA, 213 nt
Filed under: Triticum aestivum (bread wheat)
Lineage: Eukaryota; Viridiplantae; Streptophyta; Magnoliopsida; Poales; Poaceae
Description: partial small subunit ribosomal RNA
Source: RNAcentral